Long non-coding RNA from Patiria miniata (bat star), 550 nucleotides. RefSeq lists it as uncharacterized. NCBI's taxonomy places the organism in Eukaryota, Metazoa, Echinodermata, Asteroidea, Valvatida, Asterinidae. The record is from RefSeq and is a predicted model, not a curated record. The transcript is spliced from 4 exons.
UAGAGACGAAGCAGGUGGACCCGAGCCAGAAAGGCGUCAAGAUGCAGGAGUUGACGAGGAGAGCAAACAAAACGGGGCGGCAUCAACCGAGGAAGAGAAACUGAACGAGGAACAAGUUGGUGAUCAAGACAAACCUCGGCUUAUCAGUCGCAGAUAUUUGCAAGUCUUCAUCCGAGGUCACUGCUUACAAAAACCAAAGAUAAUUUGUUUGCGAUUGGAUCCAGAGACAUCUGUCUUGAUCUUAAAAGUGAUAAUAAGCGAGAAAAUCGGUGUGCAUCCUCAGCAACAACGACUGUUCAUCCGAAGAAACUUUCGUAACUUUGAGCUCCACAACUUGCUGACACUUCACGACUGUGGAAUUCAUCAGGACGAGAACAUCUCACUCCGUCUGUGUACCGAUGGCCUACUGGGCGGGGGACCAAAAGACAAACACCCUGUCGGUGAUCAGUUCUUUCGAGACAUAGCUUCGAAAACUGAAUCAUUCUGGGAACAGUUGGCCAAAUCCCUGGGAUACGGAGAAGACGAAAUCAAGCAAUUCCAAAAAAUCUGC